Molecule: unclassified non-coding RNA, 264 nt
Filed under: plant metagenome
Description: partial contains small subunit ribosomal RNA, internal transcribed spacer 1, and 5.8S ribosomal RNA
Source: RNAcentral
UUUCCCGUAGGUGAACCUGCGGAAGGAUCAUUAUUGUAUAACCGAGGUGCGAGGGCUGUCGCUGACCCGAAAGGUCGUGCACGCCCGAGUGCCCUCACACACAUCCAUCUCACCCCUAUGUGCACCACCGCGUGGGUCCCCCUUUGGCUUGUUCGGAGGGGGGCUUACGUUUUCACACAAACUUUGUAUGCAGUGUAGAAUGUAUUUUUUGUUUUUGCGAUCACGCAAUCAAUACAACUUUCAACAACGGAUCUCUUGGCUCUC